Molecule: small nucleolar RNA, 107 nt
Organism: Dioscorea cayenensis subsp. rotundata (Guinea yam)
Lineage: Eukaryota; Viridiplantae; Streptophyta; Magnoliopsida; Dioscoreales; Dioscoreaceae
Source: RefSeq, a predicted model, not a curated record
AAACCAUGGUGAGGGCAUUUCCUCAAAAGGGCCUUGAACCUUUCAUGUGCCUCAAAGAGUGUCUUUGAAUCACCUUACCUAAAAGCAAAAAUUUCUUGUCUCAGUCU